This 406-nucleotide ribosomal RNA is filed under the name uncultured bacterium. Its description in RNAcentral is "partial 16S ribosomal RNA". It matches the Rfam family "Bacterial small subunit ribosomal RNA", at positions 29 to 526 of the family's 1533-position model. The record is from RNAcentral.
AUUGAACGCUGGCGGCAGGCCUGACACAUGCAAGUCGAACGAGCGGCGGACGGGUGAGUAAUGUCUGGGAAACUGCCUGAUGGAGGGGGAUAACUACUGGAAACGGUAGCUAAUACCGCAUACCCUCGGAUGUGCCCAGAUGGGAUUAGCUAGUAGGUGGGGUAAAGGCUCACCUAGGCGACGAUCCCUAGCUGGGCUGAGAGGAUGACCAGCCACACUGGAACUGAGACGCGGUCCAGACUCCUACGAGAGGCAGCAGUGGGGAGUAUUGCACAAUGGGCGCAAGCCUGAUGCAGCCAUGCCGCGUGUAUGGAGAAGGCCUUCGGGUUGGAAAGUACUUUCAGCGGGGAGGCGUUACCCGCAGAAGAAGCACCGGCUAACUCCGUGCCAGCCGCCGCGGUAAUAC